CGUAACAAGGUCUCCGUAGGUGAACCUGCGGAGGGAUCAUUACACAAAUAUGAAGGCGGGCUGGAACCUCUCGGGGGUUACAGCCUUGCUGAAUUAUUCACCCUUGUCUUUUGCGUACUUCUUGUUUCCUUGGUGGGUUCGCCCACCACUAGGACAAACAUAAACCUUUUGUAAUUGCAAUCAGCGUCAGUAACAAAUUAAUAAUUACAACUUUCAACAACGGAUCUCUUGGUUCUGGCAUCGAUGAAGAACGCAGCGAAAUGCGAUAAGUAGUGUGAAUUGCAGAAUUCAGUGAAUCAUCGAAUCUUUGAACGCACAUUGCGCCCUUUGGUAUUCCAAAGGGCAUGCCUGUUCGAGCGUCAUUUGUACCCUCAAGCUUUGCUUGGUGUUGGGCGUCUUGUCUCUAGCUUUGCUGGAGACUCGCCUUAAAGUAAUUGGCAGCCGGCCUACUGGUUUCGGAGCGCAGCACAAGUCGCACUCUCUAUCAGCAAAGGUCUAGCAUCCAUUAAGCCUUUUUUUCAACUAUUGACCUCGGAUCAGGUAGGGAUACCCGCUGAACUUAAGCAUA
Molecule: ribosomal RNA, 568 nt
Filed under: uncultured fungus
Lineage: Eukaryota; Fungi
Description: eukaryotic LSU rRNA
Rfam family: 5.8S ribosomal RNA (bases 209-362)
Source: RNAcentral